UGGGGGAUAUUGCACAAUGGGCGAAAGCCGGAUGCAGCGACGCCGCGUGGGGGAUGAAGGCUUUCGGGUUGUAAACCUCUUUCGCUAUCGAACAAGGCCCGCUUAGGGUGGGUUGAGGGUAGGUGGAGAAGAAGCGCCGGCUAACUACGUGCCAGCAGCCGCGGUAAUACGUAGGGCGCGAGCGUUGUCCGGAAUGAUUGGGCGUAAAGGGCUUGUAGGCGGCUUGUUGCGCCUGCUGUGAAAACGCGGGGCUUAACUUCGCGCGUGAAGUGGGUACGGGCAGGCUUGAGUGUGGUAGGGGUGACUGGAAUUCCAGGUGUAGCGGUGGAAUGCGCAGAUAUCUGGAGGAACACCGAUGGCGAAGGCAGGUCACUGGGCCAUUACUGACGCUGAGGAGCGAAAGCAUGGGUAGCGAACAGG
Molecule: ribosomal RNA, 420 nt
Filed under: bacterium
Lineage: Bacteria
Description: partial 16S ribosomal RNA
Rfam family: Bacterial small subunit ribosomal RNA
Source: RNAcentral